GAAGCGGGCCAGACCGCCGCUGGUGCGAUCUCGGAAACGAGGCACUGGAGGAAGGUCCGGACUGCACAGGGCGGCGUAGCAGCUAACGGCUGUCCACCGUGAGGUGAGGAUCAGAGCAACAGAGACGAGCCGAUUCAGUUCGGGUGAAACGGGCAAUCUCUACGCGCAGCAACACCAAAUAGGCCAGCGUUGAUGUGGCUCCGCGGAGCUGGCGGGUAGGUGGCAUCGAGCCAUGCAGCGAUGCAUGGCCCAGAGGAAUGGCGGUCACGCUCGGCGCUUCUUCGGAAGUGACGGGUGCACAGAAUCCGGCCUAUCGGCCCGCUUCACAC
Molecule: RNase P RNA, 329 nt
Filed under: Piscinibacter sp. HJYY11
Lineage: Bacteria; Pseudomonadati; Pseudomonadota; Betaproteobacteria; Burkholderiales; Sphaerotilaceae
Description: Bacterial RNase P class A
Rfam family: Bacterial RNase P class A
About the family: Ribonuclease P (RNase P) is a ubiquitous endoribonuclease, found in archaea, bacteria and eukarya as well as chloroplasts and mitochondria. Its best characterised activity is the generation of mature 5'-ends of tRNAs by cleaving the 5'-leader elements of precursor-tRNAs.
Source: Rfam by way of RNAcentral